UGGUGGAAUUCCCGAGUGGCCAAAGGGGGCAGACUGUAAAUCUGUUGUCGGACGACUUCGAAGGUUCGAAUCCUUCUUCCACCACCAA
This 88-nucleotide transfer RNA is filed under the name Clostridium perfringens C str. JGS1495. RNAcentral describes it as "tRNA-Tyr". It matches the Rfam family "tRNA". From Rfam's summary of the family: Transfer RNA (tRNA) molecules are approximately 80 nucleotides in length. Their secondary structure includes four short double-helical elements and three loops (D, anti-codon, and T loops). Further hydrogen bonds mediate the characteristic L-shaped molecular structure. tRNAs have two regions of fundamental functional importance: the anti-codon, which is responsible for specific mRNA codon recognition, and the 3' end, to which the tRNAs corresponding amino acid is attached (by aminoacyl-tRNA synthetases). tRNAs cope with the degeneracy of the genetic code in two manners: having more than one tRNA (with a specific anti-codon) for a particular amino acid; and 'wobble' base-pairing, i.e. permitting non-standard base-pairing at the 3rd anti-codon position. Lineage: Bacteria; Bacillati; Bacillota; Clostridia; Eubacteriales; Clostridiaceae. RNAcentral also lists the same sequence under 5 other names. The record is from RNAcentral.